This is a long non-coding RNA of Pollicipes pollicipes, 222 nucleotides long. RefSeq lists it as uncharacterized. NCBI's taxonomy places the organism in Eukaryota, Metazoa, Arthropoda, Thecostraca, Pollicipedomorpha, Pollicipedidae. The transcript has 3 exons. The record is from RefSeq and is a predicted model, not a curated record.
CAGGUCGACAACUGGCUUCAAAAGGACAACAGCCGAGUUGGUAGCGAAGAUACGCAGAAGAGACUGGAGGAAGCUACGCACGAAAAUCGAGGUCUCAGGAUGAACCUGACUGAAACUGAAACCAGCAUCGCCCUGAUGAGAGCCGAUAUGGCUCAGAUUCGGUCCCAGUACGAAGAAAAGUGUCGGGAACUGCACAGCGAGCGUCAACAGCUCGAGGAAUAC